RNAcentral lists this transfer RNA (75 nucleotides) under Candidatus Parcubacteria bacterium. RNAcentral describes it as "tRNA-Ile". It matches the Rfam family "tRNA". Rfam says of the family: Transfer RNA (tRNA) molecules are approximately 80 nucleotides in length. The record is from RNAcentral. Lineage: Bacteria; Candidatus Parcubacteria.
GGGCAUGUAGCUCAGCGGUAGAGCAUUUCUCUUAUAAAGAAAAGGUCCUGGGUUCGAUCCCCAGCAUGCCCAUCA